GACGAACGCUGGCGGCGUGCCUAAUACAUGCAAGUCGAGCGCAGGAAACUGACGGAACUCUUCGGAGGGAAGGCAGUGGAAUGAGCGGCGGACGGGUGAGUAACACGUAAGGAACCUGCCUCAAGGAUUGGGAUAACUCCGAGAAAUCGGAGCUAAUACCGGAUAGUUCAACGGACCGCAUGGUCCGCUGAUGAAAGGCGCUCCGGCGUCACCUAGAGAUGGCCUUGCGGUGCAUUAGCUAGUUGGUGGGGUAACGGCCCACCAAGGCGACGAGGCAUGGCCGACCUGAGAGGGGGAUCGGCCACACUGGGCAGGAGACACGGCCCAGACUCCUACGGGAGGCAGCAGUAGGGAAUCUUCCACAAUGGACGAAAGUCUGAUGGAGCAACGCCGCGUGAGUGAUGAAGGUUUUCGGAUCGUAAAACUCUGUUGUAAGGGAAGAACACGUACGAGAGGAAAUGCUCGUACCUUGACGGUACCUUACGAGAAAGCCACGGCUAACUACGUGCCAGCCGCCGCCGUAA
Molecule: ribosomal RNA, 524 nt
Filed under: uncultured bacterium
Lineage: Bacteria
Description: partial 16S ribosomal RNA
Rfam family: Bacterial small subunit ribosomal RNA
Source: RNAcentral